AUUUAUUUAAUAUAAAAAGUAUAUUAAGCCUCCAACUUAAAAGUUUCAAUAAAGAAAAUAAAUA
This 64-nucleotide transfer RNA is filed under the name Bolanusoides shaanxiensis. RNAcentral's name for it is "tRNA-Gly". Lineage: Eukaryota; Metazoa; Arthropoda; Insecta; Hemiptera; Cicadellidae. The record is from RNAcentral.